This 265-nucleotide non-coding RNA is filed under the name Paenibacillus naphthalenovorans. Its description in RNAcentral is "T-box sequence". It matches the Rfam family "T-box leader". From Rfam's summary of the family: Uncharged tRNA acts as the effector for transcription antitermination of genes in the T-box leader family. T-boxes are found upstream of many aminoacyl-tRNA synthetase genes and some amino acid biosynthetic genes usually in Gram-positive bacteria. Lineage: Bacteria; Bacillati; Bacillota; Bacilli; Caryophanales; Paenibacillaceae. The record is from RNAcentral.
UGAAACGCGAAGAACGGGAUCAGUAAAGUCAAUCCGGUUGUCCAGAGAGCUGCGGGGUGGUGCGACGCAGUCGGCGGAAGCUUGAAACUCGCCCGGGAGCGGCAAAGCCCAAAGAACUUGCGGGAAAUCUCUCGUGAAGGUCGAGUAGGCUGCGACGGAUUAGCCCUCCGUGACAAGGGGUUCGAGGUGGAAUUCUAACGUGCGUUGGUGCUUGGAGUUCAAAAAGAGUGGUACCGCGGCAAGGUUACAGCCUGUCGUCUCUUGG